UUAGGAAUAUUCGGCAAUGGGGGAAACCCUGACCGAGCAAUGCCGCGUGAGUGAUGAAGGUUCUAUGAAUUGUAAAACUCUGUUGUAUGGGAAGAACGGUCAGUAUAGGAAAUGAUACUGACGUGACGGUACCAUGCCAGAAAGCUCCGGCUAACUACGUGCCAGCAGCCGCGGUAAUACGUAGGGAGCGAGCGUUAUCCGGAUUUAUUGGGCGUAAAGCGUGUGUAGGCGGUUUAUUAAGUAUAAGAUUAAAACCUGAGGCUCAACCUCAGUUCGUCUUAUAAACUGGUAGACUCGAGUAUAGUAGAGGCAAGUGGAAUUUCUAGUGUAGCGGUAAAAUGUGUAGAUAUUAGAAGGAACACCAGUGGCGAAGGCGACUUGCUGGGCUAUUACUGACGCU
This 400-nucleotide ribosomal RNA is filed under the name uncultured bacterium. RNAcentral describes it as "bacterial SSU rRNA". It matches the Rfam family "Bacterial small subunit ribosomal RNA", at positions 355 to 747 of the family's 1533-position model. The record is from RNAcentral.